RNAcentral lists this ribosomal RNA (439 nucleotides) under uncultured bacterium. RNAcentral describes it as "partial 16S ribosomal RNA". It matches the Rfam family "Bacterial small subunit ribosomal RNA", at positions 339 to 795 of the family's 1533-position model. The record is from RNAcentral.
CUACGGGGGGCAGCAGUGAGGAAUAUUGCACAAUGGGGGGAACCCUGAUGCAGCAACGCCGCGUGGAGGAUGACGCAUUUCGGUGUGUAAACCCCUUUUAUAUGUCAAGAAAAUGACGGUAGCAUAUGAAUAAGCACCGGCUAACUCCGUGCCAGCAGCCGCGGUAAUACGGAGGGUGCAAGCGUUACUCGGAAUCACUGGGCGUAAAGGACGCGUAGGCGGGUUGGAAAGUCAGGUGUGAAAUCCUACAGCUUAACUGUAGAACGGCACUUGAAACUUCUAAUCUAGAGUAUGGGAGGGGGAGAUGGAAUUAGUGGUGUAGGGGUAAAAUCCGUAGAUAUCACUAGGAAUACCUAAAGCGAAGGCGAUCUCCUGGAACAUUACUGACGCUAAGGCGUGAAAGCGUGGGGAGCAAACAGGAUUAGAUACCCUUGUAGUC